RNAcentral lists this long non-coding RNA (465 nucleotides) under Salvia miltiorrhiza (redroot sage). RNAcentral's name for it is "long non-coding RNA (SMIL_LNC009489)". Lineage: Eukaryota; Viridiplantae; Streptophyta; Magnoliopsida; Lamiales; Lamiaceae. The record is from RNAcentral.
AGAAAGAAAGAAAUUAUUGUAAAUAAUUCAAAUAGUUGAUAUCGAAUUUAUCUGUGGGGGCGAGAGAGAGCCUCUCAAGCAAGCGCCCACCUCUCGAUUUUCGUCUCUAACAUUUUUGUACAAAUUAAUUACAUACACAAUCACUUUUCUCUUUUUAUUUUUUUUCUGUAAAUUUUCGUGUAAUAUUCUUAUCUGGAAAUAUGGCUAAUUAUGAUCUUGUACCGGGGCUAGAAGAAGAAGAAGAAUCAGAGGUUGAAAUGAAAUCCUAUUCAGGUGGUGGGACAAAGCAUGAAGGGAAGUCCUCCACCAGCGCCGCCGCUAAGCCGUCGGCGGCGGCGGCGGAAUGGACUGGUCAUGGGUUGGUGGUGGGUGAUGGCAGUAGGGUGCAAACAGAUGAAUGGGAUUCCAGCAUCUACUCAUGUCUUGGAAAGAAUGAUGAGUUCUACAGCAGUGAUCUUGAAGUUU